AACUCUGGGUAUUGAUUGGGUGCUUGCAUCAUGAUUUACAUUUGAGUGAGUGGCGAACUGGUGAGUAACACGUGGGAAACCUGCCCAGAAGCGGGGGAUAACACCUGGAAACAGAUGCUAAUACCGCAUAACAACUUGGACCGCAUGGUCCGAGCUUUGAAAGAUGGCUUCGGCUAUCACUUUUGGAUGGUCCCGCGGCGUAUUAGCUAGAUGGUGGGGUAACGGCUCACCAUGGCAAUGAUACGUAGCCGACCUGAUAGGGUAAUCGGCCACAUUGGGA
This 280-nucleotide ribosomal RNA is filed under the name Lactiplantibacillus sp. RNAcentral's name for it is "partial 16S ribosomal RNA". The stretch from base 55 to 280 matches the Rfam family "Bacterial small subunit ribosomal RNA", at positions 100 to 318 of the family's 1533-position model. Lineage: Bacteria; Bacillati; Bacillota; Bacilli; Lactobacillales; Lactobacillaceae. The record is from RNAcentral.